RNAcentral lists this ribosomal RNA (1318 nucleotides) under uncultured bacterium. Its description in RNAcentral is "bacterial SSU rRNA". It matches the Rfam family "Bacterial small subunit ribosomal RNA", at positions 28 to 1381 of the family's 1533-position model. The record is from RNAcentral.
AACGAACGCUGGCGGUAUGCUUAACACAUGCAAGUCGAACGGGCUUCAGCCUUCGGGCGAAAAGUUAGUGGCAAACGGGUGAGUAAUACAGAGGAAUCUACCUAGCAGUACGGAAUAACCCUGGGAAACCAGAGCUAAUACCGUAUAUUACCGAUUUAUCGGGAAAGAUUUAUCGCUGUUAGAUGAGCCUCUGCCGGAUUAGCUUGUUGGUAGGGUAAUGGCCUACCAAGGCGAUGAUCCGUAGCUGGUCUGAGAGGAUGAUCAGCCACACUGGAACUGAGACACGGUCCAGACUCCUACGGGAGGCAGCAGUGGGGAAUAUUGGACAAUGGGCGCAAGCCUGAUCCAGCAAUACCGCGUGAGUGAUGACGGCUUUCGGGUUGUAAAACUCUUUUAGUAGGGAAGAUAAUGACGGUACCUACAGAAAAAGCACCGGCAAACUUCGUGCCAGCAGCCGCGGUAAUACGAGGGGUGCUAGCGUUGUUCGGAAUCACUGGGCGUAAAGGGUACGUAGGCGGUUGGACAAGUCGAUUGUGAAAGCCCCAGGCUCAACCUGGGAACUGCAGUCGAAACUGUUUAACUAGAGUAUGUUCGGGGACAGUGGAAUUCCUAGUGUAGGGGUGAAAUCCGUAGAUAUUAGGAGGAAUACCGGUGGCGAAAGCGACUGUCUAGGCCAUUACUGACGCUGAGGUACGAAAGCGUGGGGAGCAAACAGGAUUAGAUACCCUGGUAGUCCACGCAGUAAACGAUGAGUGCUAGUUGUCGGGGAUCUAGAUCUCGGUGGUGAAGCUAACGCGUUAAGCACUCCGCCUGGGGACUACGGCCGCAAGGCUAAAACUCAAAGGAAUUGACGGGGACCCGGCACAAGCAGUGGAGCAUGUGGUUUAAUUAGAUGCUACGCGAAAAACCUUACCAACCCUUGUAUCUAGUAGACGGGUUAAGAGAUUAGCCUUCGGUUCGCCGCAGCUAAGACAGGGGUUGCAUGGCUGUCGUCAGCUCGUGUCGUGAGAUGUUAGGUUAAGUCGUUCAACGAGCGCAACCCUCAUCCUUAUUUGCCAUAGGGUUAUGCCGGGAACUAUAAGGAAACUGCCAGCGAUAAGCUGGAGGAAGGUGGGGACGAUGUCAAGUCAUCAUGGCCCUUAUGGGUUGGGCUACACACAUGCUACAAUGGUGAUUACAGUGAGACGCUAAGGAGCAAUCUGGAGCAAAUCCUCAAAAGUCAUAUCAGUUCGGAUUGAGGGCUGCAACUCGCCCUCAUGAAGUAGGAAUUGCUAGUAAUAGAAAAUCAGCACGUUACGGUGAAUACGUUCUCGGGUCU